This 1095-nucleotide ribosomal RNA is filed under the name Salmonella enterica. RNAcentral describes it as "partial 23S ribosomal RNA". It matches the Rfam family "Bacterial large subunit ribosomal RNA", at positions 711 to 1719 of the family's 2925-position model. The record is from RNAcentral. Lineage: Bacteria; Pseudomonadati; Pseudomonadota; Gammaproteobacteria; Enterobacterales; Enterobacteriaceae. RNAcentral also lists the same sequence under 1 other name.
AGACCCGAAACCCGGUGAUCUAGCCAUGGGCAGGUUGAAGGUUGGGUAACACUAACUGGAGGACCGAACCGACUAAUGUUGAAAAAUUAGCGGAUGACCUGUGGCUGGGGGUGAAAGGCCAAUCAAACCGGGAGAUAGCUGGUUCUCCCCGAAAGCUAUUUAGGUAGCGCCUCGUGAAUUCAUCUCCGGGGGUAGAGCACUGUUUCGGCUAGGGGGCCAUCCCGGCUUACCAACCCGAUGCAAACUGCGAAUACCGGAGAAUGUUAUCACGGGAGACACACGGCGGGUGCUAACGUCCGUCGUGAAGAGGGAAACAACCCAGACCGCCAGCUAAGGUCCCAAAGUCAUGGUUAAGUGGGAAACGAUGUGGGAAGGCCCAGACAGCCAGGAUGUUGGCUUAGAAGCAGCCAUCAUUUAAAGAAAGCGUAAUAGCUCACUGGUCGAGUCGGCCUGCGCGGAAGAUGUAACGGGGCUAAACCAUGCACCGAAGCUGCGGCAGCGAACGUAUCACCCAAGACAACUUUACGGAGUUGACGAUUGACGGAGCGAAGCGACGUCAAAGCGUUCAUUAAAGUCGAGUUGGCUUAGGGAUACGUUCGUUGGGUAGGGGAGCGUUCUGUAAGCCUGUGAAGGUGUGUCGUGAGGCAUGCUGGAGGUAUCAGAAGUGCGAAUGCUGACAUAAGUAACGAUAAAGCGGGUGAAAAGCCCGCUCGCCGGAAGACCAAGGGUUCCUGUCCAACGUUAAUCGGGGCAGGGUGAGUCGACCCCUAAGGCGAGGCCGAAAGGCGUAGUCGAUGGGAAACGGGUUAAUAUUCCCGUACUUGGUGUUACUGCGAAGGGGGGACGGAGAAGGCUAUGUUGGCCGGGCGACGGUUGUCCCGGUUUAAGCGUGUAGGUGUGUGUUCCAGGUAAAUCCGGUUCACUUUAACACUGAGGCGUGACGACGAGGCACUACGGUGCUGAAGCAACAAAUGCCCUGCUUCCAGGAAAAGCCUCUAAGCAUCAGGUAACACGAAAUCGUACCCCAAACCGACACAGGUGGUCAGGUAGAGAAUACCAAGGCGCUUGAGAGAACUCGGGUGAAGGAACUAGGCA